Molecule: long non-coding RNA, 411 nt
Organism: Oncorhynchus keta (chum salmon)
Lineage: Eukaryota; Metazoa; Chordata; Actinopteri; Salmoniformes; Salmonidae
Exons: 3
Source: RefSeq, a predicted model, not a curated record
AGAUGGUGAAAUAAAUCCUGGGAGGUUCAUUUAAAAACUCAUUAUUUUGGGAUUACAGCCAAGCACAUCCUGUACAAUAUCGAGGAUAAUAUUCUAAUGUAGACAGUUUGUGGGGGUGUGUGUGGCUGUGGAAGACUGCCGUGACCACAUGUUCCAGAGCAGCCUUUAUAAGGGUCAUCCCAGGUGAGGCUUUGGCUUGAGAGGAAAGUAGAAUGCAAGUGGUGAUCACUGAGCAUCUAAAAGGAGGACGUGCAGGGAUGAGACCCAUGGACCACAGUGUGCUGAAAUGUUGUCUCUUCUCUCUACUCUUGCUAACAGUGUCUGCAGCAGACCCUCCAUCCAAUGCAGCCAUUUUAGCUAGUGAAAUGACUCCAGACAAUGCAUCCAAUACAGCCAAUGCAGGCCAACCAC